ACGACCUUACUUGAACAGGAUCUGUUCUAUAGGUUGUACAAUUGUAUCCUUGAGUUCUAAGGAGACAAGAUGUAAGAAGUCGAAAUGUUGCAAAAUGGAGACUUUGUGCAAUAAAGAAAGAUUCACAUGGUUUAUUUGAGAUCACAAAGUUGUUUGACCAACA
Cucumis melo (muskmelon) is the source of this 163-nucleotide small nucleolar RNA. RefSeq annotates it as small nucleolar RNA U3. The record is from RefSeq and is a predicted model, not a curated record. The transcript has a single exon. Lineage: Eukaryota; Viridiplantae; Streptophyta; Magnoliopsida; Cucurbitales; Cucurbitaceae.